UUCAUGUGUUCCAGAUGGGAAAGUAAAAUACGAGGAGAGUUAAACCCUAUCUAAUUUCUUUUCCCGUGCCUCCAUUUCUAAACCCCCAAUUCAAUCUUCUAGCAUUUGGUGAAGUAGCGAGCUGGUUGCCGUUUGAAUUGGAUGUGGUUGCUCCGGAUAUACGGUAUUCUAAACUUGCAAACUUAAACCCGUAAUAUGGAUUAUGUAAGCUCUACUGCCACAACUCCAGUUUUGUUUAUCAGUCAGGGUGCAAAUACGCGAUGUUAAUUAAUUAAUUAUGUACCUGGUUGUUUGGUGCAUACUACUGGAAACUCUAGAUUUAUACCUCCAUUAAUAUAUAAUUGCAUGGGUAGUUCAAGAGAUAUCUCCAUUGGAUCUGCAGGUAUUAUUUCUCUUCUAUUAGGGAAUCUAAUUCACAACGAGAUUGAUCCUACUAAAAAAAUCUUGUAGAAUAUCGAAGACUUGCUUUCACUCCAGCAGUUUUUGCAGAGAUCACCCAAAUGACCCUUGGAUUUUCCAGAGUAUUCACCCACAAUGGUAGCUUCAUUAAGAAUUUCAAUCUACUAAACUUCUCGCCAGAAUUCUUGAUGGCCCAAGACUCUUAUGGAGUUAUGGUAUUAUUUUUGUUCAUCAUCUUUCACAAAAAAGGACAAAAUCAAGCUUUCAGAAAUGGGCUGCUGAGAUUGCUGCAAAUGCGACUUUUUCGGCACCUCCGGUAAUCUUGUUGAUGUUGCUAGGCAAUGGGUUGAGAAGCAAAGUCUGAUAUCAUCUAGUGAGGACCUUCCCCACUGCAAGAUUUCCUGGAAAUUCAUCCCUUAUUGCUGUAAGAAGUCGAACUUUUUGGUUAAUAUUGACUCGUACUAAAUUUUCCUUUUUAAUGUAAUAAGCAGUUUCUGCUUUCAUUGAAAACAAAGGGGGAGGGGGUUCGGGAAUAAAGGAGAUGCUUAUUUUCACGAAAGCAUAUAUAAUUCAUAUCAAUUAAAAAGCUAUACCUGGGAAACAAGGGAGAUGCUUGCAUCACCAAAGAGUAUAAAAUGAGAGUAUAUAAUGACCGUAUGCUUAUCUAGUGAAAGCUAGUAAUGCGUACUCUCCCAAUAAAAUGAAACGCACUUGAAGAACUUGGUUGAACAACUCGACACCACACCUUUUAGUGACACGUCUUGAUUACAAUGAGCUUAUAUAUGAGGAACUUGGUUAAACAACUGGCAUCACACCUUUUAUUAAUAUGCGGGAACAGAACUAUGCUAAUGUUUUAUUAUCCUGUUAGAAAAUUAUUGUGAUGGAAAUUGAAUAAAAGUAUUAAAAUUAUACUGUGCAGUACUUCAGAAAACAAUAGGAAAUGUGGUAGAAAAAACUUAUGCCAGUACCAAUCCUGUUCACAGGACCUCCUAACAUAAGUUCAGGGACAUCCUCGAGAUGCUGCCUCCGAAGAACAAUAUUUUUAUGGAAUGGGAAUUACUGCACGAAUGAUUUUUUACUCUCUAUUUUUUCUUCUUAAUUUAUGGGUGUGUUGUUGCUGUUGUUCUUCUCGUGCAUUGCUGCUGUGGAGCUGCUGCUGUAAGGCUCGUGCAAUGUUGAUGUUUCUAGGUGGUUGCUCGUGUGCUAGGUAGCUGUUGUUCUGCCCUUUGCUAUGUUCCGUGCAAGGCCUGCCCAUGGGGCUGUGUUCUUGUUCCUGUGCUACGACAACAUCAGGCGGCACAGUGACAGUAUUGUGAUCUCAUUUGGGCAUGAUUGCUGAAACUGCUGAUACAUCAACCCCAGAAGGUUUAAAGUAUGUUUUAACUGAAUCUAUGUUGGCUUUGCUUCGGCACCCCGAUUAUUGCAUAUCAGCCUAUUAUCUGUUUUCAAAACUCUAGGGAAUGCCCUUUACCAAAGAGGAGUUGGAUUAAGUUCGAGACAAGUGGGCUACUUACUUCAACGAUUUUGAACUACCCUCAGUAGGCUUGUAGUUACUCUUACAUUACUUAGAUAUUUAUUGAUUUAAUUAAUUACAUUUGAAUUAAUUCAGUAAUAUUAUUGAAAAUUUGAAAUUUAUAUCAUUUUUGAGGAAUGUUAAGCUGAUGUUUGGUGAAACAGUAUUAUAAUGCAGAAUUUAAUAUUGCAAAAUCAGAAAUUAUAUUGCAGAA
Molecule: long non-coding RNA, 2126 nt
Organism: Spinacia oleracea (spinach)
Lineage: Eukaryota; Viridiplantae; Streptophyta; Magnoliopsida; Caryophyllales; Amaranthaceae
Exons: 6
Source: RefSeq, a predicted model, not a curated record